GAUGAAGAACGUAGCGAAAUGCGAUAAGUAAUGUGAAUUGCAGAAUUCAGUGAAUCAUCGAAUCUUUGAACGCACAUUGCGCCCGCCAGUAUUCUGGCGGGCAUGCCUGUUCGAGCGUCAUUUCAACCAUCAAGCCCCCGGCUUGUGUUGGGGACCUGCGGCUGCCGCAGGCCCUGAAAACCAGUGGCGGGCUCGCUAGUCACUCCGAGCGUAGUAGUUACAUCUCGCUCAGGGCGUGCUGCGGGUUCCGGCCGUUAAAAGCCUUAUUUACCCAAGGUUGACCUCGGAUCAGGUAGGGAUACCCGCUGAACUUAAGCAUAUCAAUAAGCGGAGGA
Molecule: unclassified non-coding RNA, 335 nt
Filed under: soil metagenome
Description: partial contains 5.8S ribosomal RNA, internal transcribed spacer 2, and large subunit ribosomal RNA
Rfam family: 5.8S ribosomal RNA (bases 1-120)
Source: RNAcentral